UCUCUGCAGUAAUGGGAGUUGUCUCCUGUUAUUGCGCUCACUCAGUCUAUGCAGGAAUUGUGCAGAGACUAAGCAAUGUGUACAUCACAAUACAUUCCACUUGCAGUUACCCCUGACCCACUCUUCCACUGCACUCGAGGACUCCUGUUGUCACGGAGAUGCUGGCUUCACCAGUGCCUUCAUCGAUCUCCAAACAGGAAGAGCAAAGUGUCCCAGUCCCAGAUAUUGUUGGUAAAACGAGAGCACUGUUCUGUCAGACACUGAAGGCUGGUACAUGU
Carcharodon carcharias (great white shark) is the source of this 278-nucleotide non-coding RNA. The record is from RefSeq and is a predicted model, not a curated record. NCBI's taxonomy places the organism in Eukaryota, Metazoa, Chordata, Chondrichthyes, Lamniformes, Lamnidae.